RNAcentral lists this ribosomal RNA (375 nucleotides) under Triticum aestivum (bread wheat). Its description in RNAcentral is "partial small subunit ribosomal RNA". The record is from RNAcentral. Lineage: Eukaryota; Viridiplantae; Streptophyta; Magnoliopsida; Poales; Poaceae.
AUGUUGCUUAAUGUUGAGUGGUGUGCUGACGUAUUAACAGUAGAAGCUUUGACUCUUAGAUUCGGCCUAUUCCUUGCACAAAAGGCGGGUUGCAAUCGUCUUGUCGUUAAUUCUGACAAUAUGGAGGUGAUUGAAAUAAUGGAAAAUGGAGGACAUUGGGCGGGAGCAGCGGCGGCAGCGUUCGAUUAUUGCUAUUUCAUAGCUUGUGAUUUUCCGCUUGUUAGAUUUGAACAUUGUAAUAGGGAAGCAAAUAAGGUGGCUCAUGAAAUUGCUAGGCUAGCGAAAUUUCCAGUUACUACUGACUUGUUUGAGGAGGCCGUGAGGGACAUUGUACAUUUACUUAUUGAUGAUGUAACAAUUAUUUCUAAUAAAUAA